This 85-nucleotide transfer RNA is filed under the name Cronartium quercuum f. sp. fusiforme G11. It matches the Rfam family "tRNA". Rfam says of the family: Transfer RNA (tRNA) molecules are approximately 80 nucleotides in length. Their secondary structure includes four short double-helical elements and three loops (D, anti-codon, and T loops). The record is from Rfam by way of RNAcentral. Lineage: Eukaryota; Fungi; Basidiomycota; Pucciniomycetes; Pucciniales; Coleosporiaceae.
GUCUCCAUAGCUCAGUGGUUUAGAGCGGCCGCCUGCAGUUCACAUGUACAGCGGCAGGUCACGUGUUCAAAUCACGUUGGGGACU